CGUUAGUCUAGGAGGCUUUAGCUUAAUUAAAGUGUCUGAGUUGCAUUCAGGGGAUGUAUAAUAAAAUUAUACAAGUCUU
RNAcentral lists this transfer RNA (79 nucleotides) under Crenadactylus ocellatus. RNAcentral's name for it is "tRNA-Ala". Lineage: Eukaryota; Metazoa; Chordata; Lepidosauria; Squamata; Diplodactylidae. The record is from RNAcentral.